RNAcentral lists this long non-coding RNA (2395 nucleotides) under Astyanax mexicanus (Mexican tetra). RNAcentral describes it as "lncRNA (ENSAMXG00005024547.1)". The record is from RNAcentral. Lineage: Eukaryota; Metazoa; Chordata; Actinopteri; Characiformes; Acestrorhamphidae.
UUUUUUCUUUUUAUGAUUUUUACAUUGUACAUUUAAUAUUGAAGACAUCAAGACAUAAAGAUGUGAAGAUUUUUUUUUCUACACAAAAAGUGUCAAAUAACCAGAAUACGUUUUACACUUUAGAUUCUUCUAAAUACCACAUUUGAGGACAGAUCUUCACGCUCUUGGUAUUUUAAUCUUAGUGUUCAUGAGGAAGAGUCACCUGGAAUAGCUUUCCCAGUGUCUUGAAGGAGUUCCUGGAGGUGCUGAACAAAAGUUGCUGCUUUUCCUUCACACUGUGAAGCUCCAGCUCAUCCCAAAUCACCCUCUCAGUUGAUCAGGUUUAGGUCGGGGGAUUGUGGAGGACAAACACUUUUUUACUGUUUACUACAUAAUUCUAUAUGUGUCCUUUAAUUGUUUUAAUGUCUUUGAUAUUAAGCUGCAAUUAAAGAAAUUAAAUAAAAUAAAGAAAUAAAGUAAAACAUUGAAUGAGAAGGUGUGUCCAGGCUAAAUGGUUGAGUGAAUUAACAGCUGAAUAACUGAGUACAUGUUUGUUCAGGUGACGUUGUCUUGCUGAGGGAGGAAUGUACUGGUUUGAAAGAGGAGUGCGAGACACUGAAGGAGGCCAACAGCCGACUAAUGGAGAAGCUACAGCUGCUGCAGAGGACACGAAAUAGCUCGGGUAGUGCGUGUCCCUCACUGAAGGAGGAGCAGGAGGAAACUGAAGGGAGCAGCGUGAUGCCGGACUCAAACUGCAGGCUGGUGGAUGCUUGCAUCCAGAAGAAUAUUUCCUUCGAGGGAAAGCCUCUCACUCCCACCAGCUGGAGUGCAGGGUUCUCUGAGAUCCUCUCACUGAGGGAGCAGCUGAAGCAAGCAGAGGAGAGGGCGGAACAGGUACAGAGACAGUGCGAUGGGGUGCGGAUUGAGCUAAGGGAGUUACAGGACCUGUUUGAAACUAGUCAGAAGGAGCGUGCAGAGCUGGAGCUUGAGUUACUUCGCUGCAGGGAGGAGCUGGACAAGCUCUCUGAGGAGAAUGGGACACAGUUCUCCACUGAGCCCCCUGUUCUCUCGCUGCCUUUCAUAGGACUGAUAGUGAUUGUGGCAGUGCUGUGGUGCUGCUGGUCUGAGCUGGCAUCCUGAAGAACGAAAGGCGUGAUCACUAUAUGAUUCUCUGGGUUUUAUCAGAGAAUCAGGCAGAAGAGGCAGAGUGGUUGGUUUCGUCAUGUGUGUUUAUUUUUUGGAGCGUAAUCUGUUGGUCAGUAGUCAGCCUAACGGUCAGCGAAGAUCCAUUUAUCUACCUGGCUUCAGUCCUACCUAGGGUUUCUGUGUCUCUGGAAAGGACAGGAUACCCUGACCGGCCAGCAGAGCAGGAUAUAGAGCGGCAGCUUUAGCAGAGAAGCUAACGGAGACACUGACCUGAACUCUUUGUGAGGGUUUUUACUCUUUUUGUAAAUAUGCUCUGAUCUUGUUUUAUCUUUGACUAUUAUUGCCUGUAACUCACUCCAUUAUUUGUAAAGAUCUAUUAAUUUAUUCAAAUAUUUAACAUAAAUAUUGUUGUGUUGUAUAAUUUUUUUCUUUCUGUGCGGUUCUACCUUUUUAUUAUUUAUUAUAGAGAGAAAAAUGGGUAAGGAAGGUAUCGAAUGCAAUAACAAUACAAAUCAGCAGCUGAAUUUUUCUUUCAAUUUAUUAGCGCAUAGUGAAGUGAAAGACAUGGAUAAAGAGUGCACACACACAUACACACACACACACACAUAUACAAUUUUAUACACACACACACACACAUAAUUUAGUUAAUAUAUACAAAUGCUUACACACAGCUUGUCAAUAGAAUAGAACUCUCACAGAAAGCGUAGAGCUGUGGAGUUGGGGAGUUGUGGUGCGAUGGUUAACAUCCAACAUCCUGUUCUUUUCCGCAACAUUCUCCAAAAUCCAAUAGAACGCCUUUUAUUAACAACAGAGAUAUAUACUCCAACAAAAGCAGGAUAAAAUGUAUCUUUAAACAUCGAUUUCAGAAACAAUGAAUAAGAAAGUGUCCCAAUACUUUGUCCAUAUAGAGUAUGUUAUAUUCUCAUCUAUAUUUUAUUGCUCAGAUAAAACUCUGUGAUCUCAUGAGAUUUGUGAUCUCACUUUUGUUUCAUUUAGAGAUCAGCUUGGUCACUGAUGUUUCUCCUAAAAUGACUCAUCGCUUAAAGUCUCGUUGUCCUUUAGGAGAAACUUGAUAAUGAAGACAUCUUUUUCUUUAUGUUUCUUUCUUCUGGUACUGUGAUGUUUCUUCUGAUAAGCCGAUAUUGUCCAAGCCCAGUAUAUGCCCAAAAAAACCUCUGUCCUGUAGGGUUUAGGUAAUUCGGAACUGGGUUUUAUAGUGGAAACAGGUUAGAUUAAUAAAAGCACUUUACUGAAGUGAAAGACUGAUGAU